Molecule: small RNA, 131 nt
Filed under: Waltera intestinalis
Lineage: Bacteria; Bacillati; Bacillota; Clostridia; Lachnospirales; Lachnospiraceae
Description: Clostridiales-1 RNA
Rfam family: Clostridiales-1 RNA
Source: RNAcentral
UGCGUGGCUGCUUGCAGACAAAGCGCUGUGGCGAUUCACGAAUCCAACAGAUAUGAGUAUGCAGGGCGAUAGCCCGGAAUACGAAUAUCUGUAGCAUUUCGAGAGCCCGCAGGGCGGAAAAAUGCGUAGGG